GACGAACGCUGGCGGCGUGCUUAACACAUGCAAGUCGAACGAUGAUGCCCAGCUUGCUGGGUGGAUUAGUGGCGAACGGGUGAGUAACACGUGAGUAACCUGCCCCUGACUCUGGGAUAAGCGUUGGAAACGACGUCUAAUACUGGAUAUGACUGCCGGCCGCAUGGUCUGGUGGUGGAAAGAUUUUUUGGUUGGGGAUGGACUCGCGGCCUAUCAGAUUGUUGGUGAGGUAAUGGCUCACCAAGGCGACGACGGGUAGCCGGCCUGGGAGGGUGACCGGCCACACUGGGACGGAGACACGGCCCAGACUCCUACGGGAGGCAGCAGUGGGGAAUAUUGCACAAUGGGCGAAAGCCUGAUGCAGCAACGUCGCGUGAGGGAUGACGGCCUUCGGGUUGUAAACCUCUUUUAGUAGGGAAGAAGCGAAAGUGACGGUACCUGCAGAAAAAGCACCGGCUAACUACGUGCCAGCAGCCGCAGUAA
RNAcentral lists this ribosomal RNA (483 nucleotides) under uncultured bacterium. RNAcentral's name for it is "partial 16S ribosomal RNA". It matches the Rfam family "Bacterial small subunit ribosomal RNA", at positions 28 to 523 of the family's 1533-position model. The record is from RNAcentral.